UGUGACCACAUCAUCCUGCAUACGCUUGAUCUCAUAAGAUAUCAGAAACUAAACAGCGUUGACCCUGGUUGGUACUUGCAUGGAAGACCGCCAAGGAAUACCAGGAUUGGUAAAAA
Molecule: ribosomal RNA, 116 nt
Filed under: Petromyzon marinus (sea lamprey)
Lineage: Eukaryota; Metazoa; Chordata; Hyperoartia; Petromyzontiformes; Petromyzontidae
Source: RNAcentral